UCUUUUCAAACAAGUCUCUGUUUUGUUGGCCUCAUCUGCAGCUGGUGCUUCUACCGCUUUUACAGGAUCAUGUGUUGGAGCACCACAGAACAGACAAUACUGAAUGGCUCAUUAGCAAUGUGCUGUAUAGACUCUCAAAGAACAUCCUCAACUCCUGACAGACUGUUUAUUAUCCAGUGGGCCCAUGAAGAGAGGCAUCACACAGAAAUGUAAGACUACCAGACUACCGUUUUGGGUCAAGGCUGUAAAUGAAAAAAUCCAUAAAGACAAAGACCCUCAAAUUCAACGAAGCAUUUAAGUAAAUGAAUAAUGUAGUAAAUGA
Molecule: long non-coding RNA, 322 nt
Organism: Pygocentrus nattereri (red-bellied piranha)
Lineage: Eukaryota; Metazoa; Chordata; Actinopteri; Characiformes; Serrasalmidae
Exons: 4
Source: RefSeq, a predicted model, not a curated record